CAGUCGAACGAGGGUCCUUCGGGACUCGAGUGGCGAACGGGUGAGUAACACGUAGGGAACCUGCCCGUGCGACCGGGAGAACUUUCGGAAACGGAAGCUGAUACCGGAUAGGGACAGAGACGGCAUCGACUCUGUGUUAAAGGAGCUGAAAGGCUCCGCGCACGGAUGGACCUGCGGUGCAUUAGCUAGUUGGUGAGGUAACGGCCCACCAAGGCGACGAUGCAUAGCCGGCCUGAGAGGGCGGACGGCCACACUGGGACUGAGACACGGCCCAGACUCCUACGGGAGGCAGCAGUAGGGAAUUUUCGUCAAUGGGCGCAAGCCUGAACGAGCAAUGCCGCGUGAACGAGGAAGGUCUUCGGAUCGUAAAGUUCUGUUGAAGGGGAAAAAGAGCGGAGAGAGGAAAUGGUCUCCGAUUGAUAUUACCCUUCGAGGAAGUCACGGCUAACUACGUGCCAGCAGCCGCGGUAAUACGUAGGUGGCGAGCGUUAUCCGGAAUGAUUGGGCGUAAAGGGUGCGUAGGCGGCCUGCUAAGUCUGGAGUGAAAGGUACCGGCUCAACCGGUACAGGCUCUGGAAACUGGCGGGCUAGAGAGCAGGAGAGGGCGGUGGAACUCCAUGUGUAGCGGUAAAAUGCGUAGAUAUAUGGAAGAACACCAGUGGCGAAGGCGGCCGCCUGGCCUGUUACUGACGCUGAGGCACGAAAGCGUGGGGAGCAAAUAGGAUUAGAUACCCUAGUAGUCCACGCCGUANACGAUGAGGACCAAGUGUUGGGGANGACCCAGUGCUGCAGUU
Molecule: ribosomal RNA, 794 nt
Filed under: uncultured bacterium
Lineage: Bacteria
Description: bacterial SSU rRNA
Rfam family: Bacterial small subunit ribosomal RNA
Source: RNAcentral